GAAGAAGUAAGAUCCCUGAAAGAUGAUCAGGUUGAUAGGUCUGAGGUGGAAGCGUGGUGACACGUGGAGCUGACAGAUACUAAUAGAUCGAGGACUUAACCUU
This 103-nucleotide ribosomal RNA is filed under the name Bacillus pumilus. RNAcentral describes it as "partial 23S ribosomal RNA". It matches the Rfam family "Bacterial large subunit ribosomal RNA", at positions 2822 to 2925 of the family's 2925-position model. The record is from RNAcentral. Lineage: Bacteria; Bacillati; Bacillota; Bacilli; Caryophanales; Bacillaceae.